This 5203-nucleotide long non-coding RNA is filed under the name Gallus gallus (chicken). Lineage: Eukaryota; Metazoa; Chordata; Aves; Galliformes; Phasianidae. The record is from RNAcentral.
GUGUCCCCAAACAGCGUCAAAGCAAAAGGAUGUGGAAGGGAGCCUUUAACCACUGCUUGCCGAUGACUUCCAUCGAGAUUUGACUUGUGGAUGAAAUUCAGUUUAGCAUCUGCCCAAUAAAGUUUCUGUUCCUCAUAAUCCAAUGUCAGUCCAUUUGGCCAAUAAAUGUCCGUGUUGACUAUAAUGGAGCGGCUUGAACCAUCCAUCCCAGCACGUUCUAUCUUUGGCACUUCUCCCCAGUCUGUCCAAUACAUGAACCCUCUUGCAGGAUCUAAGGCAAUUGCUCUGGGUUGAUCCAAUUCUUGCCAAAAUAAAACUUUUCUCAAUGAUCCAUCUAAAUUCGAAACUUCAAUCCGAUUUGUUUCAGAAUCUGUCCAAUAUAAUUUCUCUCCCAGCCAGUCACAUGCCAGCCCAUCAGGUGACAAAAGUCCAGAAAUGACCACAUUUUGUACACUCCCGGAUUUAUUGAAUUCUGUUCGUUUAAUGGCUUCUUCACUCACGUCGCUCCAGUAUAUCAACCCCUUCACGAACACAAAGUCCACUGCCGCUGCAUCUUCGAGGCCACCCACGAUUACUGUGGCAUUCUCCUUCCCGUUGGCAGCAUCCACCAGCCUCAGGUCACGGCGGUUUGCAUACAGCAACAGUGGGGCAGCUCGCAUCAGGGAACAAAAACUGCAGGCGAGCAGGCUCCGCAGGACGGCCCCCAUCUUCCCUCGCUCCGCGCUCUCACCGGCGGGGCGGCGGCGAGGAGCAGUCCCUCCGCUGCCACUUCAUGCUGCCCGGCGGGCGGGGAGGCGAGGAGGAGGGCCGGGCAGCGGCGAAGGGCGGCCGCCGAGCCCCCCUAGCAGGCCGCUGGCCCCGCCGCGCCGCAGCGGCACCGAGCGCUCCCCUGCAUGCCGGCCUCCGCGUCGCUGCCGCGGCCGCUCGCCAUCCACUCUCCGCUCCCUCGCUCGCCCGGCCUCCGCCUCCGCCGGGCGCGCACAGGCGCAGGGAUACAGCCCUCCUCCUUCUCUCCUCCUCCUCCUCCCCCGGCCCGGCCUGGCCCCCGCCCCGCGCCGCGCCCGCCCGCCCGGCUCCGCGCUCCCGCCGCACCGCCCGCCUUCUCAGGCUGGGAGCGAGCGGGCGGGCAGAGGGCGGCGCGCACGCAAACGGCGGCGGGCGGGCGAGCGCCUCGCGGCCCGGCGGGCAGCUCCGCCUCGGGCGGGGCGCGGGGCGAGGGCGGGCGCGCGCGGCCCACGGGCGCCCGUGGGCAGGGCGAGGGGUCGGACGGGGGGAGCCGGCCGCCGCCGUCGCAUUCCAGCGGGACUAUUUCCCGCGUUGUUUCGCACGCACGCCUCCGCCGCCUUUUUGGGUGCGAUGCGGUUGUCGGAGCAACACCGGCCCGGGAGGGACGGGACUACUUUCAGUCACAGAGCGGUGGCGGCUGCACAAAGGCGGCCGCUCCCCUUCGCCCGCAGGUGAGGGCUGCCCGGCCGCGCUCCCCCUCCGUCCCUUUCGGCCGCUGCACGGCGGCGGUUCCCGAGUGAAGGGCGGGCUGCGGCGCCACAGCCUUUCCACGGGAGUUUCUGCGGAGCUGCCCCGUGGGCAAAGCUACUUCAGUAUUUCUGCGAGGAACGUCACAUCUCACGGGGCGUCCCUCCUCUCCUCCCGCAACGUGACAGCUGUUCCGAGGGAUGAGGCAGCGAGGCAGAGCGACUUAAAGCAAAAUUUGAGAUCCUCGCGUGCAGAAGUCUGUAUUACUUUCAGGGUUAUUAGAAACUUAUGGAAACAUUUAACUUUUAAUUUCGUAUCUGUUGAACAUAUAUUUUCAUAGCUUUUCUUGUGAUUACAGUAGGAGAUAACAUCUGGGCCAGAUUAAAGGCCCAGGCAUUGCAGACCGGCUCUGACAUCAGACUCCAGCAGUCAUGUGAUGAUAUCAGACUUUCAGAUUCUACUGGGGAGAAACCGCAAGUCAAAACUUUGUAGAGAAAGAAGUAUACCUCCAACUUUAAAAGUUGUUUAAGAAAGGGGGGGGGGGGGGAGGGAAUCUUGAAAAAGUAAACAGCUCAACAGCAAGAGCUGCCUGAGGGCAGGUCUGCAUUCAAAUAUGUCUUUGACUCCACCGGGUGGAACAACCUCCUCUGUUGUUGCCAUGUCAGCUAGGAGGAUAAGCAAACUCAAGCAAGAUCCACAGUGGUGGUGGAGGGGAAGGGCUUCCCAUGAGAAAACGUACCAGAGAGUGGAUAAACCUUAGCAUACCCUUGCUGUCACAACUGGAUUUUGUGGGAACAGACAGAAGCAGCACAGCAUUCUAUUUAUUUUCACUGAGCAAUUGGAAUCAAAGAAAACAGUAACUCACAACGUUGUAUGAUCAGUGAUUAACCUCUUGUGAAGUAUUGCAAGUCCAUAAUGAAUUCUUCCUAUCUUAAUAACACGAUGCACAGCUGAGAGAAAGCUCAAGCCUGAACCCUCGAAUGUCACAUUUCUCUAUGUGCUGUUCCCUCUUGCAUCUUGUGUUCUUUUUUCUUUUGCUGGAAACACAAUGGUGUCUUGACUAUCUCCCUCGGAAGCCGGAUCCCCUGCCUGUUGGCUCUCGCAUCUUCCCCACCAUCCCAUCUGACUGGCUUUAUUUUUAGCUUACAAACAUUACAUGCUGUCACCCGUCACGAAUUUGACCAUUUUUCUAUACUUCAAGACCUUUCCUUUCCUGAUUGGAUUUCCUCUAAGUCACUGAGUGAUUAGUGACUUCACUUAUGUAUCCCCUUUUCUCCAUCUGCUUCUUAGAGACAGUCCUCUCCCUACUCAAGCCUACGUAGCCUUUUUAAAAACAGUUUUCCAUUCAAUGCUUAGGAUUCAGGACCAAACCCAUGUUGUAUCUGUUUCUCAGCUUUAUUUCUAAUUCAUACAGACAGCAGGGACUCAGCUGUAGAGGUUUUUACGAAGUAAACCAGAUUACCUCACACAGAAAAGAUUCUGACAGCCAGGGCUCCUCUGAAAUACUUACAUUCUUUCAUUUGAUCUUAAAGUUAAGGUGAAGGAAAUAGGAAUGCAGAGGGAACGUUUCUUCUAUUGCAGUAGGAAGCUCCUCAUGUUGGUUACAAUUAUUUUUAUUAAUCUUAUGAGUGGAAGUAUUCAUUUGCUCGUUCAAAUCCAGUCAGAGACUUUGGCUGUCAAGAAAUCUGUACAAUCUUAUUCUUACCUCUGGACUCGGAUGGUGAUUCGAUGAUACAGGAGCUUUCACAAGAAUUUCAUUAUACUCAGGUUAGUUCCCUGGUUUGGUUCAUAAUACGGCUUCACAAGCAUUUUUGUCAACUCAGAGGACAGCCGGGGUGGCAACUGGACCUCCUAAAACCAGUAGUAACUGCUCAAGUCUCUGUAUCUUUGAACAGUGCCCUGUGUUGCAGUGAAGUCGGUGGGAUCCUUUGUAGAAUGGGGACUGAAGUCCCUAAUGAACAAAAGCUGUUAGCAGAAGAUAGCUGCGCAGCAAAUGAAUUUGUGGCUGCCCACAUCACAGAAACCACUAUCAUAAUUAGCUCCCUUGCUGAAUGUCUCAACAAGAGUUAAUGGGCAUGGCAUGGUGAAAUCCUGGUCCCUCUGAAGUCAAUGGUAAAACUCUCACCAACAUCAAAAGGGUCACGUUUCAUACUGAAACUCUAGCUCAAGUCCUCUCUUGCAUCCAUAAGGAAAGAUUGCAGCAAAGUAGCAUAGGAGAUGGGAUGUGAAGUAGUGAUGACUUCAUCAGUGAUGUCUGUUACAACAAUUUCACGGGUAAAAUAAGACACCCUACUCCACAAAUCAUCACCUUGCUACUUUGCCUAGGUUGUACUGUUGGUACUCAUAAAAACCUUCAUCCACUUCUUUUCCAAAACAGAAUCAGCUCUAAGAAAUUUGACAGGUGCACCUUACAAGAUUUAUCCUGUUCCAAGAGAGCAAUGGAGCCAUAAUGUUCCUUCUUUAAAGAAUAGAAUACUAGAUCAUCUAUCCCUUCUUAAAAAUCAGUAAUAAGCAGACAUAUUUUUCCUUCACUUUUACUAUUAAAAGUAAAGCCACAUUAACUGCGUCUUUUCAACAAGACUUAGGCAGCUUAUGAGCGGAUUUCCUUGGACUGAUAGCCAUUUCUCUAUUCCAGAAAUUUUCUCCAGGGUGGAAGAUCUCAGUUAUCUUCAGUUACUAUCUGUAGGGUUCCCCACAGUCUGUCAAACCAUCGCAAUAGCUAGCAUUCCUGCUAUUUUCCCACUGAUCAGUCAAGUCCUCUCCCCACCCCCCCCUUUUUUUAAUCAUAUAAGGAGUUGCCUCUUCUCCUUGCUUUUCAGUUCUACCUUAUUUUUUUCUCCAUUAAGUGUAAUACCCAUUCCUUUUCUACCAUCUCCUCUUUUAGAAGAUGCUGCCUGGUGUCCAGGAUGAGAACUGCAUUUCUUUGUGGCUGAAAAAAUCCUUACAACAAAAACUUCACAGAGAAGGUCCUGGAGUUCAGCAGAGCAUAGGGUUUUCAACAGGAAGAUCUGGAAACAAAAGCAAAAGAAAACCUAGCAAGUACCUGAGCAAAACCUCCGCUCUUGGGCAACAUUAGAUAGAAAAUGAAGCAGCUGUGCAGAAAAAGGAGGUAGAAGUUUGAUACUGAGUUGUCACUGCUGAAGGUAAGAGAGUAAAAUAAAUAUGAAUUGAGCUGAGUUGGAGAUUCAAGCAGGAUUUAUUAAACUUUAAGUCAAAGUCCAAAUGAGGAAUAUGCAGAUUCAUUUCUGUGGAGACCUAUUUUGUUUUACCAGGUCCAUUAAGACCAAGGCAGUUUCUAAUUAGGAUUUAAGCAAUAUUCAACUAGGUGGAAACUAGAAAAAGGUAAAAGAAAGCAGGGACUGUUAUAAAGCCAUGGACUUUACCCCCAGAAAACAUACCUAUCUUUUCAAUUAACUUUUCAAGCCCAUGUUCCUUCCACAGUCUUAGCUGUAAUAUAGGUGUCAGCACACACUGGAACAAGCACAAGAACUGGUGUCUCACGUGAGGACAAUUACCACCUGCCAGCUGAUGCACGGUAAUCUGCUGUUGUGCAUGGUCACGGGCCAUAGCUGCCACAUCUACCCAUUUUAGUUCAGUCUGGGUUGUUCCCCAUUAUAACCUUCUGUUUCAAAUGCCUGAUAUCCUAUAGACUCAAGAGACAUUCUAAACACGAGUGAGGAAGCAGUACUUGAACUGCUUGUAGCACGCACACCAUUUUUUAUCACUCUUC